Molecule: non-coding RNA, 142 nt
Organism: Caenorhabditis elegans
Lineage: Eukaryota; Metazoa; Nematoda; Chromadorea; Rhabditida; Rhabditidae
Source: Ensembl
GCAAUUUAUUGGGUGAUCGUUGCGAGACCCGUGCAGUUGGAAGGCAAGCCGGGUGGAAAUACUGGCUUAAUUAGUACGAUCCGCUUCGUUUCACACUUUUAUAUCAAUAAAAAUUGUCGAUCUUGAGAGUCUGAGAAGAGUU